CACAUUCCUGUUCCCCACUUGUAUUGGAGUGAACGGAGAUGUCUACUUCUGGGCCCCUUGCAUCGAGGGACCCGUCCACAGAACGCUUAAACAGCUGCAUUACCAGGCUUGGCCCCUGAGCACUGGUGGAUUGCGGAAGUAUGCACUGUUCCUGGGAGUAGGGUAAAAAAAAGCCUUGUAAAUCACGGUUCACACGAGAUCUUCCUUGAAGUCGGAUCUUCAGAUAUUCAUAUCGGCCAUGAGCAUGGAAGAGCCAGACCCCAAGGCUUUGAGAAUGGAGGAAGAAAACCAGUGAAAACAACGGACCUUGAAAACAUGCAGCAAGCGAUCAAUAAAAAUAUGUAUUCAAUACAAUUAUUG
Long non-coding RNA from Gadus chalcogrammus (walleye pollock), 360 nucleotides. RefSeq lists it as uncharacterized. The record is from RefSeq and is a predicted model, not a curated record. The transcript is spliced from 4 exons. Lineage: Eukaryota; Metazoa; Chordata; Actinopteri; Gadiformes; Gadidae.